Molecule: long non-coding RNA, 1762 nt
Organism: Capra hircus (goat)
Lineage: Eukaryota; Metazoa; Chordata; Mammalia; Artiodactyla; Bovidae
Exons: 2
Source: RefSeq, a predicted model, not a curated record
AGGUGGCCUAGCUGCUGAAAUAACCCAGCAUGUCCAGUGAGCAGACAGUAUGGCAGCUGCCAUCUAAACCAGCUGUGUAUUCAACAGACACACUCAGGCCCAGGGUCCGCCCUAGCUUUGGAGUCCGUCUGUGGGUGCUGUCUGCUCCCUGAACAGAAGUUACAGGGACACAGGGGUGGGCUGGCCCUGCCUCCUGAGUGGUGGCCCUGGCCCUCCCUUCUUCUGUUGCCCUGGGUACAGGCUGACCCCAAUCCCACCUUGUCUCCCUGCGUCAGUACUGACUGGAGUCACCGGCCACUCCCAAGCCGCUCCCUGUCACCCUAGGGCGGCAGUGACUCAGCGGCCACCGACAGCGACCUCCCCAGCCCGGGUGAGUGGCUGCCGGUGUUGUGCGGGAGGCCCGGGCCAGCCGGGUGGAGGUUUAGGGUGGGGCUGACAGGUGCGGCCCCGACUCACCCAGUCCUCGCUCGACCCGGGGCACUUUGCCGGGAUAGGGGGAUCCACCUGGCGGCCCACCUGGGAAUGACAGUGACCUGUUUUAGAGCUGGACGCUCCGGGCCGCCGCGACCGGCCAGAGCGCCAUCUCCUGGCCCAAGCCUGCAAACUCGCGGCUUACAGGGGAUGACCCGCACCCAGCCCGUGACUGAUCGGGAGAGAAAUUGAGACCCAGAACUCAGGUCCGGACUCCCAGCCCAGUACUCUUCCAAGGGCCUCCUCGGUUCCCAUUGCAUCAUAGUGAGAUGGGAAGCUCCCAGAAACUCCAGCAGGGCCUGUCUGUAAGAUAGCUGAAGCUCUCCACUGCCGGAGCAGUGAAGCCCUGGCCUGGGUGUCUCUGUGUACCUGACCUCCCAACUUCAUUGGGGGGGACACCCUGUGACCCUCAGUCUACCUGCCUCAUGCAGCAACAACUGGAUGACACGUGAAGAGGCCUGGCCCAGUGCAUCCUGGCACAGGACAAACGGCAAGGAUGAGCAGACAGCACCUGACAACUCACCAGUGCCUGAGUACCCAAGCAUCUGGCCACCAUGGAGGCUCCACAGGGCUUGGGGCUGGAGCCCUGGGCUCCUGGGGUGCCUUGGGACAGCUGGACUUUGCAUGCCUGUCUGUAAAGGGCCGGCAGAACAAACCCCUCUAGACACCUAGACCAGAGACGGAAGUAUGUGGCCUGACUCUUGUUUAUUGAUCUGAAACUUAGAGGUAGGUGGGCCAAGCCAGCAGGAACCUGACUUUGCUUACCAGGGCAGUCUGGGGACCCUUGUUCCAAACAGACAGAACCACUCCAGGGGCUGUGCCUGUUGCCAUGGGAGCCAGCCCAGCACCCUGGAGAAGGCUUUAUGUGAUAGAACACUCAUCUUGCAUUUGACCCACAAGCCUAGGAGAAUAGGACAGUGAGCUGAGGGUAGGAAAACUUUGUGGUUUUCCUUGGAUUUUUUUUUUUUUUUUUUUUUUGCCAUACUGCGGCACACAGAACUUCCCUACAUGUCCUGUCCAGGGACUGAACUUGUGCCCCCUUCAGUGGAAGCACAGAGUCUUAACCACUGGACCACCAGGGAAGUCCUCCUUGGCAUUUAAAAAAUGAAGUUCUUAUUAUGAGAUAAUUUUAGACUGACACAAAGGCCCCAAAGUCAGUAUUAGCAUUUCUGUAGACUUUCCACCUGGUUUCCCCUAAUGUUAACAUCUUACACAAGUCAUGGUACAACUGUUGUACUGAAAUUGACUGGUACUUAAUUCAUUAAACUUCACAGACUUUGCUCAGAUUUCA